GAUGAACGCUGGCGGCGUGCUUAACACAUGCAAGUCGAACGGAAAGGCUCCUGCUUGCAGGGGUACUCGAGUGGCGAACGGGCGAGUAACACGUGGGUGAUCUGCCCUGCACUUCGGGAUAAGCCUGGGAAACUGGGUCUAAUACCGGAUAGGACGAUGGUUUGGAUGCCAUUGUGGAAAGUUUUUCGGUGUGGGAUGAGCUCGCGGCCUAUCAGCUUGUUGGUGGGGUAAUGGCCUACCAAGGCGUCGACGGGUAGCCGGCCUGAGAGGGUGUACGGCCACAUUGGGACUGAGAUACGGCCCAGACUCCUACGGGAGGCAGCAGUGGGGAAUAUUGCACAAUGGGCGCAAGCCUGAUGCAGCGACGCCGCGUGGGGGAUGACGGCCUUCGGGUUGUAAACUCCUUUCGCUAGGGACGAAGCGCAAGUGACGGUACCUGGAGAAGAAGCACCGGCUAACUACGUG
Molecule: ribosomal RNA, 465 nt
Filed under: uncultured bacterium
Lineage: Bacteria
Description: partial 16S ribosomal RNA
Rfam family: Bacterial small subunit ribosomal RNA
Source: RNAcentral